Molecule: ribosomal RNA, 254 nt
Filed under: uncultured bacterium
Lineage: Bacteria
Description: partial 16S ribosomal RNA
Rfam family: Bacterial small subunit ribosomal RNA
Source: RNAcentral
CGAUCCUACGGGGCGCAGCAGUGGGGAAUAUUGCACAAUGGGGGAAACCCUGAUGCAGCGACGCCGCGUGAGCGAAGAAGUAUUUCGGUAUGUAAAGCUCUAUCAGCAGGGAAGAAAAAUGACGGUACCCGAGUAAGAAGCACCGGCUAAAUACGUGCCAGCAGCCGCGGUAAUACGUAUGGUGCAAGCGUUAUCCGGAUUUACUGGGUGUAAAGGGAGCGCAGGCGGUGCGGCAAGGCUGAUGCGAAAGCCCG